GGCAUGGCUCAGUGGCAGAGCAUCUGGUUUGUAUGCAGAAGAUCCCAAGUUCAGUCCCUGGCAUGUCCA
RNAcentral lists this transfer RNA (69 nucleotides) under Sphaerodactylus townsendi. RNAcentral describes it as "tRNA-Thr". It matches the Rfam family "tRNA". Rfam says of the family: Transfer RNA (tRNA) molecules are approximately 80 nucleotides in length. Lineage: Eukaryota; Metazoa; Chordata; Lepidosauria; Squamata; Sphaerodactylidae. The record is from RNAcentral.